RNAcentral lists this unclassified non-coding RNA (333 nucleotides) under soil metagenome. Its description in RNAcentral is "partial contains 5.8S ribosomal RNA, internal transcribed spacer 2, and large subunit ribosomal RNA". The stretch from base 1 to 120 matches the Rfam family "5.8S ribosomal RNA", at positions 35 to 154 of the family's 154-position model. The record is from RNAcentral.
GAUGAAGAACGUAGCGAAAUGCGAUAAGUAAUGUGAAUUGCAGAAUUCAGUGAAUCAUCGAAUCUUUGAACGCACAUUGCGCCCGCCAGUAUUCUGGCGGGCAUGCCUGUUCGAGCGUCAUUUCAACCCUCAAGCUCUGCUUGGUGUUGGGACUCGCGGUAACCCGCGUUCCCCAAAUCGAUUGGCGGUCACGUCGAGCUUCCAUAGCGUAGUAAUCAUACACCUCGUUACUGGUAAUCGUCGCGGCCACGCCGUAAAACCCCAACUUCUGAAUGUUGACCUCGGAUCAGGUAGGAAUACCCGCUGAACUUAAGCAUAUCAAUAAGCGGAGGA